CUCCUACGGGAGGCAGCAGUCGAGAAUUUUUCUCAAUGGGGGAAACCCUGAAGGAGCGACGCCGCGUGGAGGAUGAAGGCUUUCGGGUUGUAAACUCCUGUCAUUUGAGAACAAGUGUGGGCAAGUAACUACUGCCUACUUGAUAGUAUCAGAAGAGGAAGAGACGGCUAACUCUGUGCCAGCAGCCGCGGUAAUACAGAGGUCUCAAGCGUUGUUCGGAUUCAUUGGGCGUAAAGGGUGCGUAGGUGGCGCUGUAAGUCGGGUGUGAAAUUUCGGAGCUUAACUCCGAAACAGCAUUCGAUACUGCGGUGCUUGAGGACUGGAGAGGAGACUGGAAUUUACGGUGUAGCAGUGAAAUGCGUAGAGAUCGUAAGGAAGACCAGUGGCGAAGGCGGGUCUCUUGGACAGUUCCUGACACUGAGGGACCGAAGGCCAGGGGAGCAAACGGGAUUAGAUACCCCGGUAGUCCUGGCAGUAAACGGUGCACGUUUGGUGGGGGGAAUUCGACCCCUUCCCGCCCGAAGUAACGCGUUAAACGUCCCGCUUGGGAAGUACGGUCCCAAAAUUAAACCUCAAAGAAAUUGCGGGGGGCCCGCCCAAGCGGUGAAGUAUGGGGCUUAAUUCGAUGCAACGCGAAAGACCUUUACCUGCCCUUGACAAGGCAUUCUUUAAACUGGUAAAAGCCAGUGAGUGUCGAAAAGACACAAUUUGCACAGGUGCUGCAUGGCUGUCGUCAGCUCGUGUCGUAAAAUGUUGGGUUAAGUCCCGCAACGAGCGCAACCCCUUGUGAACUGUUGCCACUCCCCUUUAUUGGGAAGCCACUCUGUUCAGACUGCCCUGUGAAACGGGGAGGAAGGUGGGGACGACGUCAAGUCAGUAUGGCCCUUACGGCCAGGGCUGCACACGUACUACAAUGCCCAGUACAGAACGAUCCGAGACCGCAAGGUGGAGGAAAUCUAUCAAAACUGGGCCCAGUUCGGAUUGGAGUCUGCAACUCGACUCCAUGAAGCCGGAAUCGCUAGUAAUGCCGUAUCAGCUACGACGGCGUGAAUACGUUCCCGGGCCUUGUACACACCGCC
This 1079-nucleotide ribosomal RNA is filed under the name uncultured bacterium. Its description in RNAcentral is "bacterial SSU rRNA". It matches the Rfam family "Bacterial small subunit ribosomal RNA", at positions 336 to 1394 of the family's 1533-position model. The record is from RNAcentral.